RNAcentral lists this ribosomal RNA (442 nucleotides) under uncultured bacterium. RNAcentral's name for it is "bacterial SSU rRNA". It matches the Rfam family "Bacterial small subunit ribosomal RNA", at positions 338 to 795 of the family's 1533-position model. The record is from RNAcentral.
CCUACGGGUCGCAGCAGUGAGGAAUUUUCCGCAAUGGGCGAAAGCCUGACGGAGCUACGCCGCGUGAGGGAUGAAGUCUCUAGAGAUGUAAACCUCUGUUGGGUGGGACGAAGAUCUGACGGUACCACCUGAGGAAGCCCCGGCUAACUACGUGCCAGCAGCCGCGGUGAUACGUAGGGGGCAAGCGUUAUCCGGAUUUACUGGGCGUAAAGAGCGCGUAGGCGGUCCCGUAAGUUGGUUGUGAAAGUUCGAGGCUCAACCUCGAAACUGCGUCCAAUACUGCGGGGCUGGAGUGCAAGAGAGGCAAGUGGAAUUUGCGGUGUAGUAGUGAAAUGCGUAGAUAUCGCAAGGAACACCAGUGGCGAAGGCGGCUUGCUAGCUUGUAACUGACGCUGAGGCGCGAAAGCUAGGGGAGCGAACGGGAUUAGAUACCCGCGUAGUC